RNAcentral lists this ribosomal RNA (433 nucleotides) under uncultured bacterium. RNAcentral describes it as "partial 16S ribosomal RNA". It matches the Rfam family "Bacterial small subunit ribosomal RNA", at positions 29 to 507 of the family's 1533-position model. The record is from RNAcentral.
AACGAACGCUGGCGGCAUGCCUAACACAUGCAAGUCGAACGAGACCUUCGGGUCUAGUGGCGCACGGGUGCGUAACGCGUGGGAACCUGCCCUUAGGUUCGGAAUAACUCCCCGAAAGGGGUGCUAAUACCGGAUAAUGUCUUCGGACCAAAGAUUUAUCGCCUUUGGAUGGGCCCGCGUUGGAUUAGCUAGUUGGUAGGGUAAAAGCCUACCAAGGCGACGAUCCAUAGCUGGUCUGAGAGGAUGAUCAGCCACACUGGGACUGAGACACGGCCCAGACUCCUACGGGAGGCAGCAGUGGGGAAUAUUGGACAAUGGGCGAAAGCCUGAUCCAGCAAUGCCGCGUGAGUGAUGAAGGCCUUAGGGUUGUAAAGCUCUUUUACCCAGGAUGAUAGUGACAGUACCGGGAGAAUAAGCUCCGGCUAACUCCGUG